AGUAUGAAUCGAAGAAGAGAAUUUCAGCAGAGGAGGCCAUGAAACAUGCAUACUUCAGAAGUCUUGGAACAAGAAUACACACUUUGCCUGAAAGUGUUUCAAUAUUCAGUCUAAAAGAGAUUCAGUUGCAAAAAGACCCUGGCUUUCGAAAUUCCACUUACCCAGAGACAGGACAUGGGAAGAACAGAAGGCAGAGCAUGCUUUUUUAAAGUGGGCGAUGCAGAGUCAAGCCCAAGCCUAUCCUAUCGAUCAAGGACUCGGAUCUGAAGGCAGUGCUCUCUGUUGGUGGACUUGGAAUUGCAGUUUGUCUACACUGUCCUCUUCACAGUGGAGUCUUUUUAUUUCCAACCUGCAGAUUAUGUUUUUAUAUUUGUUGUCACAGUGUGACAAUUUUUUGUACAGUUGGUUUUAAGGUCUCCUCUGCCACUAGAGCCAGUAGGUUACAGCUGUUGAUGUAACUGUAGCUGCAAUUUUUGUGCAGGACUGAGAAACACAGUGCAUUAUUUAUUGCGGAAUCAUUGCUGCUAAAUAACUACUGUCUGUAUAGUUAACACAACAGUUCCAUGCCUGAAGAAGUUGCAAUGGCUUUAUAAUAUGUGAAUGCAUCUGUUUCUCUUCAUAAAAUGUUCUACUGCUGCGGGGUUUUUUUGUAUUUCUUAAACUGCAGUGUUUCCUGGAAUGUAAACAUAGCUUUGCUUGGCUAUAGGUGAACCAUCGUUAAUGCUCUAAGUUCAUGGCACUUAAUUCCUUAUUUAACAUUGGAAGUAUGUGUUGAAAUAGUUGAAAAAUUAUAAUGCAUAUUAUGUUUUUGAAAAGCACAUGGUGUGAAAGUUGAUUCAAACAAGUGAACAGUAACUAUUUGCUCUCAGAUUCUACUUAGUUAUUGAUAAAUUAGAGCAUGGAGACUGGAUGAUAAAUUUUGUCAGGCUUACUCCAGCAUAAGAUAUUUGCACAUUGUUGUGCACACGGGGCCUGCAGAAGCGAUGACUUUUUUACCUUGUUUUUAACAUAGAAAUACAAAUAG
Non-coding RNA from Pelecanus crispus (Dalmatian pelican), 1024 nucleotides. Lineage: Eukaryota; Metazoa; Chordata; Aves; Pelecaniformes; Pelecanidae. The record is from RefSeq and is a predicted model, not a curated record.